This is a long non-coding RNA of Syngnathus acus (greater pipefish), 441 nucleotides long. RefSeq lists it as uncharacterized. The transcript has 3 exons. The record is from RefSeq and is a predicted model, not a curated record. NCBI's taxonomy places the organism in Eukaryota, Metazoa, Chordata, Actinopteri, Syngnathiformes, Syngnathidae.
AAACUCCCCCCCCCCUCCUUUUUUAGAAUUUUCUGGUUGCUCCUUGUCCUCUCCACCCGAGUGGUCUGACUCAAGCUUCAGUUCAAGUGCAAGUACAUCAACUACACUCCUGGAUGAGGGCCCUCGGAAGAAACCAAGAGUUGAGGGUACAAUUGAUGCGGUAUCUGCUAAAAAGUUGAUUGAAGCUGUACUUGGAACCAGCUCAGGUGGUGAGGAGGUCCUCCAAGAGUAUCACACAACACAAACUAAAACAAAUGCUACCAGAAGAAAAUUGGUCAAUAUAAUAGUGGCACACAUGAUUGAUAAACACGGACAACUCCCCUCCAAAGCUGUUCGAGAAGAGUACGCUCUUGGGAUAGUGACAGUGUUCCCGUCCCUCAAAGACCCAUACUCCAAGAAAGGCUAUGAAUAGUCAUUAUUAUUGUUUUGGGUUGUUGGGUU